This 253-nucleotide ribosomal RNA is filed under the name uncultured bacterium. RNAcentral's name for it is "partial 16S ribosomal RNA". It matches the Rfam family "Bacterial small subunit ribosomal RNA", at positions 524 to 776 of the family's 1533-position model. The record is from RNAcentral.
UACGUAGGUGGCAAGCGUUACUCGGAAUCACUAGGCGUAAAGCGCAGGUAGGAGGUUUAGUAAGUCUGUUGUGAAAGCUCCCGGCUCAACUGGGAGAGGUCUUUGCAUACUGGCAAACUCGAGGGAGGCAGAGGAAAGUGGAAUUCCCGGUGUAGUGGUGAUAUGCGUAGAUAUCGGGAGGAACACCUGUGGCGAAGGCGGCUUUCUGGGCCUUACCUGACGCUGAGACGCGAAAGCGUGGGGAGCGAACCGG